GGCCUGAUGGUCUAGUCGUAUGAUUCAUGCUUAGGGCUCUCUCUAAUCGGAGUUUGAAUGCGUGAGGUCCCGGGUUCAAUUCCCGGUUAGGCCC
Non-coding RNA from Exidia glandulosa HHB12029, 94 nucleotides. The record is from the annotation of a GenBank genome assembly. Lineage: Eukaryota; Fungi; Basidiomycota; Agaricomycetes; Auriculariales; Exidiaceae.